GAUGAACGCUGGCGGCGUGCUUAACACAUGCAAGUCGAACGGUGAAGCGCCUUCCUUUUUGGUGGGUGUGGAUGAGUGGCGAACGGGUGAGUAACACGUGAGUAACCUGCCCCCUUCUUCUGGAUAACCGCAUGAAAGUGUGGCUAAUACGGGAUAUUCUGGGUCUGUCGCAUGAUGGGUCUGGGAAAGAUAUUGUUUCGGUGGGGGAUGGGCUCGCGGCCUAUCAGCUUGUUGGUGGGGUGAUGGCCUACCAAGGCGGUGACGGGUAGCCGGCCCGAGAGGGUGGACGGUCACACUGGGACUGAGACACGGCCCAGACUCCUACGGGAGGCAGCAGUGGGGAAUAUUGCACAAUGGGCGCAAGCCUGAUGCAGCGACGCCGCGUGAGGGAUGGAGGCCUUCGGGUUGUGAACCUCUUUCGCCAGUGAAGCAGGCCUGCCUCGUUUGUGGGUGGGUUGACGGUAGCUGGAUAAGAAGCGCCGGCUAACUACGU
Molecule: ribosomal RNA, 493 nt
Filed under: uncultured bacterium
Lineage: Bacteria
Description: partial 16S ribosomal RNA
Rfam family: Bacterial small subunit ribosomal RNA
Source: RNAcentral